Molecule: transfer RNA, 65 nt
Filed under: Dryadomorpha sp. EMHAU-2015-Zz060407
Lineage: Eukaryota; Metazoa; Arthropoda; Insecta; Hemiptera; Cicadellidae
Description: tRNA-Asn
Source: RNAcentral
UUAGUUGAAGCCAAAUAGAGGCAUCUUAAUGUUAAUAAGAAAAAUGGUUUAUUAUCCCGGCUAAA